GCAGGCUCAUGUCUAUAUCAUUGCUGGUUCCUGUUUGUCCCUGGGUUUUCGAUUUGCUGGUUCAGAAAAUCUGGCCGCAUUUAACUGUUUGUUUGCAUUUGCAAAAGACUUCAUGAAGUGUUUAUCGUCAGCUACAGCUUCUAUUGCUGGACACUAUAAUCUAGAGACUUGUCUGAGUGUGGUAUUGCUUUCCCUUGCAAUGGUGAUGGCAGGAUCUGGGAACCUGAAGGUCCUUCAGCUCUGUCGUUUUCUACACAAGAAGACUGGUGGAGAAAUGAACUAUGGAUUUCAUAUGGCACACCAUAUGGCUCUGGGACUCCUCUUUCUGGGAGGAGGAAG
This is a non-coding RNA of Notechis scutatus (mainland tiger snake), 339 nucleotides long. Lineage: Eukaryota; Metazoa; Chordata; Lepidosauria; Squamata; Elapidae. The record is from RefSeq and is a predicted model, not a curated record.